RNAcentral lists this unclassified non-coding RNA (383 nucleotides) under uncultured fungus. Its description in RNAcentral is "partial contains 5.8S ribosomal RNA, internal transcribed spacer 2, and large subunit ribosomal RNA". The record is from RNAcentral. Lineage: Eukaryota; Fungi.
AACGCACAUUGCGCCCUUUGGCAAUCCGAAGGGCAUGCCUGUUUGAGAACCUUGACGUCCUUCACCCCCCUAUUUUUCCUUGGAACGAUGGGUUGGCUUGGGUGGAUCUGGGCGAGUUCCUCUGCUUUACACAAAGCGGGGGUCGCCUGAAAUUCAAGGCUCGGCGGAUCGGGGGCUCGCCUCCGCGCACGCAUCCCACAAGCAAGACGUGAUAAUACGGUUUAAAACCCCGUUCAAGCGUCGAUAACCGUGGGCACACGUCGCGGGCAUACAUGGGCGGUCUCUGCCGACGACUCCAAUGUUGCCAGGCGCAAUUCUCCUUGAGAAAGGCGAACACCUGAACAUCUGGUCUCAAAUCAGACAAGACUACCCGCUGAACUUAA